Molecule: ribosomal RNA, 313 nt
Filed under: uncultured eukaryote
Lineage: Eukaryota
Description: partial 18S ribosomal RNA
Rfam family: Eukaryotic small subunit ribosomal RNA
Source: RNAcentral
ACCCUUAGAUGUUCUGGGCCGCACGCGCGCUACAAUGACAGAAUCAGCAAGUAUACCUUUGUCGACAGACAUGGGAAAUCUUAGAGUUUUUGUCGUGAUGGGGAUAGACCCUUGUAAUUGUUGGUCUCCAACGAGGAAUUCCUAGUAAACGCAAGUCAUUAACUUGCAUUGAUUACGUCCCUGCCCUUUGUACACACCGCCCGUCGCACCUACCGAUUGAAUGGUCCGGUGAAGUCUUCGGACUGCAGUCACCUCGAGUGAUCGCGGAAAGUUGAGUAAACCUUACCAUUUAGAGGAAGGUGAAGUCGUAACA